RNAcentral lists this ribosomal RNA (494 nucleotides) under uncultured bacterium. RNAcentral's name for it is "partial 16S ribosomal RNA". It matches the Rfam family "Bacterial small subunit ribosomal RNA", at positions 28 to 507 of the family's 1533-position model. The record is from RNAcentral.
GACGAACGCUGGCGGCGUGCUUAACACAUGCAAGUCGAACGGUGAAGCGCCUUCCUUUUUGGUGGGUGUGGAUGAGUGGCGAACGGGUGAGUAACACGUGAGUAACCUGCCCCCUUCUUCUGGAUAACCGCAUGAAAGUGUGGCUAAUACGGGAUAUUCUGGGUCUGUCGCAUGAUGGGUCUGGGAAAGAUAUUGUUUCGGUGGGGGAUGGGCUCGCGGCCUAUCAGCUUGUUGGUGGGGUGAUGGCCUACCAAGGCGGUGACGGGUAGCCGGCCUGAGAGGGUGGACGGUCACACUGGGAGUGAGACACGGCCCAGACUCCUACGGGAGGCAGCAGUGGGGAAUAUUGCACAAUGGGCGCAAGCCUGAUGCAGCGGCGCCGCGUGAGGGAUGGAGGCCUUCGGGUUGUGAACCUCUUUCGCCAGUGAAGCAGGCCUGCCUCGUUUGUGGGUGGGUUGACGGUAGCUGGAUAAGAAGCGCCGGCUAACUACGUG